CCUACGGGGUGCAGCAGUAGGGAAUUUUCGUCAAUGGGCGCAAGCCUGAACGAGCGAUGCCGCGUGAGUGAAGAAGGCCUUCGGGUCGUAAAGCUCUGUUGCGGGGGAAAAAAGGCAGCAUCAGGAAAUGGGUGCUGACUGAUGGUGCCCCGCCAGCAAGUCACGGCUAACUACGUGCCAGCAGCCGAGGUCAUACGUAGGUGGCGAGCGUUAUCCGGAAUGAUUGGGCGUAAAGGGUGGUCAGGCGGGCCUGCAAGUCGGGAGUGAAACGGAUGCGCUCAACUCCUGCAGGGCCUUGGAAACUGGAGGACUGGAGAGCAGGAGAGGGCUGUGGAACUCCAUGUGUAGCGGUAAAAUGCGUAGAUAUAUGGAAGAACACCAGUGGCGAAGGCGGCCGCCUGGCCUGUUGCUGACGCUGAGGCACGAAAGCGUGGGGAGCAAAUAGGAUUAGAUACCCGUGUAGUC
RNAcentral lists this ribosomal RNA (465 nucleotides) under uncultured bacterium. Its description in RNAcentral is "partial 16S ribosomal RNA". It matches the Rfam family "Bacterial small subunit ribosomal RNA", at positions 338 to 795 of the family's 1533-position model. The record is from RNAcentral.